This 1434-nucleotide ribosomal RNA is filed under the name uncultured Terriglobales bacterium. RNAcentral's name for it is "bacterial SSU rRNA". It matches the Rfam family "Bacterial small subunit ribosomal RNA". Lineage: Bacteria; Pseudomonadati; Acidobacteriota; Terriglobia; Terriglobales. The record is from RNAcentral.
GCCUAACACAUGCAAGUCGAGCGAGAAAAGGGGAGCAAUCCUCUGAGUAAAGCGGCGCACGGGUGAGUAACACGUGGGUAAUCUGCCCUGAAGUGGGGAAUAACACCGGGAAACCGGUGCUAAUACCGCAUAUGAUCACGGUGUCUGCGGACACAGGGAUGAAAGGAGCAAUUCGCUUCAGGAGGAGCCCGCGGCUGAUUAGCUAGUUGGUGAGGUAAUGGCUCACCAAGGCAACGAUCAGUAUCCGGUCUGAGAGGACGGUCGGACACACUGGAACUGAGACACGGUCCAGACUCCUACGGGAGGCAGCAGUGGGGAAUUUUUCGCAAUGGGGGCAACCCUGACGAAGCAACGCCGCGUGGAUGAUGAAGUAUCUCGGUACGUAAAAUCCUUUCGACAGGGAAGAAACCGCAAGGUUGACGGUACCUAUAGAAGAAGCCCCGGCUAACUCCGUGCCAGCAGCCGCGGUAAUACGGGGGGGGCUAGCGUUGUUCGGAAUUACUGGGCGUAAAGGGCGCGUAGGCGGUCUGCUAAGUUGGAUGUGAAAACUCUGGGCUUAACCCAGAGCCUGCAUUCAAUACUGACAGGCUAGAGUUCUGGAGGGGAUAGCGGAAUUCCUGGUGUAGCGGUGAAAUGCGUAGAUAUCAGGAGGAACACCGGUGGCGAAGGCGGCUAUCUGGACAGAGUCUGACGCUGAGGCGCGAAAGCUAGGGGAGCAAACAGGAUUAGAUACCCUGGUAGUCCUAGCCCUAAACGAUGGAUACUUGGUGUAACUGGGAUUGAAUCCAGUUGUGCCGAAGCUAACGCAUUAAGUAUCCCGCCUGGGGAGUACGGUCGCAAGGCUGAAACUCAAAGGAAUUGACGGGGGCCCGCACAAGCGGUGGAGUAUGUGGUUUAAUUCGACGCAACGCGAAGAACCUUACCUGGGCUCGAACGGCUAGUGACAGGUGGCGAAAGUCGCUUUUCCCGCAAGGGACACUAGUCGAGGUGCUGCAUGGCUGUCGUCAGCUCGUGUCGUGGGAUGUUGGGUUAAGUCCCGCAACGAGCGCAACCCUUGUCUUCUGUUGCCAUCAGGUCAAGCUGGGCACUCUGAAGAGACUGCCGGUGACAAACCGGAGGAAGGUGGGGAUGACGUCAAGUCAGCAUGGCCUUUAUGUCUGGGGCCACACACGUGCUACAAUGGCAGGUACAAACCGUCGCGAGACCGCAAGGUGGAGCUAAUCGGAGAAAGCCUGUCUCAGUUCGGAUUGUCGGCUGCAACUCGCCGGCAUGAAGUUGGAAUCGCUAGUAAUCGCGGAUCAGCACGCCGCGGUGAAUACGUUCCCGGGCCUUGUACACACCGCCCGUCACAUCACGAAAGCUGGCUGUACUAGAAGUUGCCGCGCUAACCCGCAAGGGAGGCAGGUGCCUAAGGUAUGGUCAGUGAUUGGGGUG